This 1275-nucleotide long non-coding RNA is filed under the name Apteryx haastii (Great spotted kiwi). RNAcentral's name for it is "lncRNA (ENSAHAG00000010038.1)". The record is from RNAcentral. Lineage: Eukaryota; Metazoa; Chordata; Aves; Apterygiformes; Apterygidae.
AGAAGUGCAAGAGCUGCAGCUCCCGUGUGUCCGCAAAUGCCAGGAGGAGGAACUCGUUGAAGGAGCUGCCGUUGGACAUUUUGCUAUCUCCAGGCAUGGGGAACUGUCGAAAGAAGAAAAGACAUUGAGAAGUUAGGAGAGACUUUUCAAGCAAAAAUCCCCCAUAUGUUGCAGUUCUCAUGCAACCCCCCACACUGCCUCUCUCUUUAUGGAGAGGAUCUGUGUGCAGCUCCUUUGCUUGAGCUCCACUUUUCUCUGGCUGAGUGUGCUGUGAGGAGCAGGGACUUCUGCCCAUGAGCUCCAGAGGAGUCAGUCCGGCUGUAAAGCAGUGGGCACAGGGGAAUAGGGGUGACUAGAUCUGACAUUCUCAAUUUCUGUUAGGUGAAAUCCAUUUGUCAUGCAGAAAGGCUUUUCAGCACCUUUAUUCCCAAUUCUAAAGAAUGAGGUUUGAGGAACAGAGUUUCAGGGAUUUUUUUUAUUUUCUUUGAGAUGCCCCUGUCACCCCUGGGGAAUGUUCCUCAAAGGCAGAAAUUCUCAGCAUUUCUACUGAGUCCUGAGAAACAUGAAUUCUCUGUCCCUUGUUGCGGAGUGCGGACAGCUAGUUUGUCUAUUAGCCUUGUUCCUUGCUGUCCUGUGCUUGCAACUCUUUGAAACUGGACUCGUCUGCUCUCAGCAGGGGUUGGUUUCUUUUUAGGGCAACAUAUGAGUGUGAUCAUCCUCCAGCUCAAAGUGCACAUCUCCAAACUUCUCACCCUUUCUCCAGGCACCUGAGAGAGCUCUCCACACUCCCCUUCUAGCCAAGGACAUACAGGGCUCUUUUCAGAUGCCCAUAUACAGCCUCCCACCACCAUCUCCAUACUCUCAGCAUCUCUGCACCUUCUUCAUUUGUCUCUUGGACACAACAGAGAUGCUAUGAGGCAGCGGUGCCCUUCCGGAGGGCAGCUCAAAGUCUGCCAGGCCAGUGCUAGGUGCCUGGGUGCUGUUUGUGGUUGUGAGGUCACUUGUGGCUCAGUGCCUGCUAGGCCAGUGCUAGCUGCAUGGCUGCUGUUUGUGGUUGUGAGGUCGCUUGUGGCUCAGUGCCUGCUAGGCCAGUGCUAGGCGCAUGGCUGCUGUUUGUGGUUGUGAGGUCACUUUUGGCUCGUUGCCUCACAGGCCAGUGCUGGGGAGAAUAGAGGGCUGUGAAAAGAGCAGGGCCUAAGCUUAGGGAAAUCUUUGCAGAGUUCUCGUGCUUUUUUAUAGCUUCCUUUCUUCUUGCAGUUGCUAAGGAGGAAAGGA